RNAcentral lists this ribosomal RNA (445 nucleotides) under uncultured Desulfuromonas sp. RNAcentral describes it as "bacterial SSU rRNA". It matches the Rfam family "Bacterial small subunit ribosomal RNA", at positions 943 to 1382 of the family's 1533-position model. The record is from RNAcentral. Lineage: Bacteria; Pseudomonadati; Thermodesulfobacteriota; Desulfuromonadia; Desulfuromonadales; Desulfuromonadaceae.
GGUUUAAUUCGACGCAACGCGCAGAACUUUACCUGGCCUUGACAUCCCGGGAAUUUCCUGGAAACAGGAGAGUGCUUUCAUUAGAGAGAACCUGGAGACAGGUGCUGCAUGGCUGUCGUCUAGCUCGUGUCGUGAGAUGUUGGGUUAAGUCCCGCAACGAGCGCAACCCUUGUCCUUAGUUGCCAUCAUUUAGUUGGGCACUCUAAGGAGACUGCCGGUGUUAAACCGGAGGAAGGUGGGGAUGACGUCAAGUCCUCAUGGCCCUUAUGUCCAGGGCUACACACGUGCUACAAUGGCCGGUACAAAGGGCAGCAAAGCCGCGAGGUGGAGCCAAUCCCAGAAAGCCGGUCUCAGUUCGGAUUGGAGUCUGCAACUCGACUCCAUGAAGUUGGAAUCGCUAGUAAUCGCGGAUCAGCAUGCCGCGGUGAAUACGUUCCCGGGCCUU